GCGGAGACAAAUGUUUCCGUUCACUCCUCACACCACACUCCGCCCGGACUACUGUUCGGGCGGUU
Molecule: small RNA, 65 nt
Filed under: Nostoc punctiforme PCC 73102
Lineage: Bacteria; Bacillati; Cyanobacteriota; Cyanophyceae; Nostocales; Nostocaceae
Also listed under: 2 other names
Description: Cyanobacterial functional RNA 1
Rfam family: Cyanobacterial functional RNA 1
Source: Rfam by way of RNAcentral